UCGAGAAGUACGUCGGCAUCUACAAGGCUGCAUCGGAUGCGUCUGCUGAUGGCACCAUAAACGUCUUUCCCUGUCAAUUUACCCAGCAGGGUAUCCGUCUUGUCCAGGCCGAGUACCUCCGGACUACCGGGCAGUUCUUGCCACCGCUCAACUCCUCUGCGUCCUGCUGGGCCGCCCUCCAGCGAUUGCUUGGUCAGAUCUUCACGAACUUCGACCCUCGGUCCGCCUGCGGCUUCAAGACGGAGUGGAUCUCCACGGGAUGCAUGAACAUCUCCUCCCGAUCCCAAUUCGAGUCCCUGGCCAACGCUUCCUCGUCUACCGUCCUGGCCGACGUCAAUCGGACCUGCAGCGGCUCCUUGAGCGGGUCCACCUGCGCCACCUGCACCGCCACCAUGACCCGCCUCAACGCCUUUCUCACAGGGCCCCCCAACGGCAAUGUCUCCGAUUGCACCCAG
Molecule: long non-coding RNA, 455 nt
Filed under: Spirodela polyrhiza (greater duckweed)
Lineage: Eukaryota; Viridiplantae; Streptophyta; Magnoliopsida; Alismatales; Araceae
Description: long non-coding RNA (SPOL_LNC001838)
Source: RNAcentral